AUGUGUUUCGUUUUAUAUACAAUGCUCGUAUAUACACGUAUAUACAUACAUACAUAUAUUACAUGCAAGUGUAUAAGCUUGGUAGCAAGUUCCGAGUGGAAGGCAAAACCGAGUCAUUCAGUACUCGGAGAUGCAGUCUCGUGUGCUCGUCAAGUCCGGCCAUCGUUUAUUUUCACCAACGACGUUCUCCUACAAACUUUCAUAAAGCGUUGGUUAAACGCGCAUGAAAAACAAUUUGCGUAACGAGCGCGAGUGCUGCACGUCCCGUUAACGGAACGGGAGUGCUGGUCUGGUUUCUGAUGGAAGUGGUGAAACCCUACCGACUGUUUUUUUUUUAAGGGUGGAAACGAAAAAAUCGAAAAAAGAAAGAAGCAAUUUUUCUUCGGGGAAAGAAAAAUAAAUAAAUAUAAAUAUAUAGAAAAGAACGGGCGCGAUAAAACGUUCCAAAUGGUUUUACCCUGUUCGUUGAAAGUAAGAAAAGAAAGAAAAUAGAAAGAAAGAGAGAAAGUCUCUGUCUCUCUCUCGAGUAGUAAAACGAUCAAAAAAGUAAAAUCAUUUCGUUUGACAAUAACGACGACUGUAACUAAUAAGAAAAGAUAUACGUCGAAAUGUUGAAGGAAUUUAUUCUUUGAUUUAAGUAAUACUAAUAAUGUUGUUUUUCGCUAUUACAAAGUAUAAAAUGCUCGAUAAAAACUCGACACUAAAAAUGUGAAAAAAAAAAAAAUAUAAAACAAUUAAAAAAACAAGAAUGAUUCGACGAUAAAAAUAAUAACCUAAGGCAAAAGAAGGAGGAGAAGGAGAAGAAGGAGAAAGAAAAAAAAAAGAAAAGAAGUAAGAUUUUCCGAUAUGUUGUCCCUUGAAAUUAUUUCUACGCUAUUAUUUCAUUUGUAUGCUGAAUCCUCGAGCAAGGAUAACUCCAUUAGAAAGGAAAGAGCGAGUUGGUCGACGCGCGUUAUCCGACUCACAGGAUAGAAUUUUGUUUUAUUUGCACAUCCUCAACCCAACCCUGUCGUUUGCCUCUACUGGAACCUACUGGCAAAUCAGACUUUCCGUGGAAUUGAAUUCUGAAUUUUGGAAAACGCUUUCCUUCCUUUCUUUCCGGCUUGUUUGUUUAACGAAUCUUCGGCGAUUCGAAUGAAUUUUACAUUCUUUCCACUUCGUUCUGUAUUUCUUUUGUUUUAUUUAUUCACAUCAAAUACACAAUGAAACUGAACGUUCGCGUUUAAUAACAAAAUUGGAUGCAUUUUUUUCCUCUAAAUACGUUAAAGGAAAAAAAGAAACAAAAAAACGGGGAAAAAAAAAAGUAGGAAAAAGGAAAAGAUGUUUCUCAAUUCAACGUUUUUCGAACUUUGCUCUUUUCCAUCGACCGCGCGAGCCUUGAAAGAUAUAUGAUAUAAAGAUAAAAAAAAGAUAAAAAAAAAAAAAUAACCGCGGGUAUUAAAUGAUAAAUACAAUACGAUAAUCUUUCAACGAUAUUUCUUUUUCUUUUUUUUUUCCUAACGUUUUCCACAAUUCAAAUCGUUUUUUACCUAGUCGAUACUAUACACGAGCUAGGAAUCGUUUGGAAAGUAAAAGAACAAGAAAAA
Molecule: long non-coding RNA, 1586 nt
Filed under: Polistes fuscatus (common paper wasp)
Lineage: Eukaryota; Metazoa; Arthropoda; Insecta; Hymenoptera; Vespidae
Description: uncharacterized LOC122524837, transcript variant X1
Source: RNAcentral